CCGGAGGCGGGAAUGGGGGUGUCGGUGGUGUUUAGCUGCUGGAGCGGAGGGUACGCGGGGAAGAGUAGGGGAGGGGGCCAAGUAGCCUCUCCUUUUAAUCGUCCAGCUCGCUGGUCUAGGCGGGUGUAGACCGGGGCAACGUUGACCGCGGCUGGCGCCACAACCGCCCUCCGCGGUUGUGCGGCGAGAGCCGGCACCUCGACGAGGGCGGCCCGGUGGGCUUGGGCAGGCAGCGGACGAGCGGAGGUCGUCGCAGAAGAGGCUUGUGUGUCGGCUGCCACCAUGCACGAACACGACCGCACCGGCGCCGAGGUGCUCCGGCACGAGCUGGGGCGGCCACAGCUCGGGAAGCGCGCGCGGGUGCGGCCGGAGGGGCGGAUGCGGAUGAUUCCGGUCCUGGUCCUCCGCUUGCUCCACUACGAGGUCCGGCACUGGCCGCACAACCUCGGCAAGUACCUCCACGACGACCUACCCAUGACGGAGCCACCUCCCAAACUCCCGCACCGGUACGAGCAGCUGCAGCCACCGUCGAGGCCGCGGAAGGAGCGCUACUAGUACUCGUCCCACGGGUGGUAGGCGGUCCCUGAGUUGAAGCUGAACGGUCUGCAGCAGCGGCGGCGCGGAGGGUAGAGACCACUCUGGUAGCUAGGGGGUUAGGCGACCGGAAGGACGGGCAACAACAACGGUAACAGGAGAGGGGACGAUAGAAGAGGAGUACUGUCUCGAAAUGGGCAGACUUAGAAAUCACUUCUUCCACGUCCGUACAUCGGUGCCCUCGUGCCCUGUCGAACUAGAUUUACCGUUCGAUUUCACGUCGUAAGCACAUGACUGUCAUUAUGAGAUCCGUGAUUUCGCGUUGCCAGCACACUACAAUCAUUAGAACAUGCAUGAUAUGCCACCCAUGAAUUGACGUCAGCAGCAGUGGCUGUCAUUAGAUCAUUCAACUUCGUCACUAACUUUCAACUUCGUCUGAUUGAUUGUUUGUUUAGCCGUCUUGUAUCGUGGUGUUAAAUGGCACUGUUACGGUGCUGGUUAGCAAUGGUGGUGGUGUGUGUCUUUUAGAUUUCUUUGUCUACAACAAAAACCAUAGUUGUAUACGUCCUCUGCUCACCCCAUUUGAUACGUAUUACGUGAGAACGACUAUGACCGAAGUUUUUUUAAUUGGUCAAUUCUCAAGUGUACGAUUAUGACUUCUAUAACACGGUAGGGGCAGGGAUGGAUUGUACCAUUUUUACCUUCCUAUCCGUGUUAAAAACGAUAUAAAAACAAUCAACCAAAACAUCAUGUGAAUACCAUUUACGUAUACGUAAGGAAUCGUAGAAACGAAGUCUUACAAAUUGGACAAGUCUCAAGUGCCACAGUUGUAGUUGUCAUCUACUCAAUGUUUUUUUCUACUCAAACUAUUACUCAAAAAAAAUCCUGGCUAUUACACCAAGUGUACGAUUAUAACUUCUAUAACACAUAUGACGUCAAAAUAGUAUCGAAGAGCGGACACAAAACAAUGAGUUCUUUGGUGUUACUUCUUUAGAUUCAGCAUGUACCAUAAAGAGACAUUUUAACUUGACGACGACGUACUCGGUCUUCGACUACUACUCGACUUUAGAUGGUAAACACAACUCCGAACUCUGUGUGAGUAUAACAAUUAAAGAACGGGAUUUUUAACAAACAGAUGACUAACGGGAGUUUUGAAAAACAGAUGAUGAACGGAUGAGUUAAAAAACAUGUAUACAUGUACACACACCACUUGACCACCUAAGUACGGUCUUAAAACGUAACACGAAUGUUCAGGAAUCUCAGUAGAUUACGGUUUAUUAGACGACCCGUCUGUGUUAACUAAAUACACUUUAUCAUCUACUCAUAUUUUAAUUAAAUCGAUCUCACAACCGUACUAGAGUAACACAAGGUACUUGAAACAACAAGGUAUAGAUUAUUAAUAAUGUGUAAAUAUCUAUUCUUUUUAUAUGUGUCUACAAGUAUGAAUCUAGGUGAACGAAAUCAAGAACUGAUAGGAACUACGAGUAAGUGAACAACUACAAGGAACCAAUAGACACUACCUGCUCCCCCCUCUUCCCUACCGUCUCCUCCAAAUGUUAUAUAUCCUGCUGUUUAAUGUACUACGUUCCUUCUACUCCUCCUUCCUACUUUACAUCCAGUCUACCCCUCAUGGACAUGUCUAGUUUCGUGGCGGCGGCAGCGAACGACCAAGAGGGCUCGGUACCGGCCAGGUUUUAAGAUCGGCGGCGCCGGUGGAGGUUAAACAAGUAUUCCCUCUCCCAAGCCCCGGCUACGGUACCAGCGGCAGAACCCACAACCACCGACGAUGUGGUGGCAAGCACCGAAAACACGAGCGCUCCAACUUCCGUACCUACGAAGUAAAAUCUAUACCUUAGUAACUACUAACUAAAACAUAUACUUGACUAACUACGAGCGGCAGAAAUUAAUAAAAAUUAACUAUUAACUUAUCUAACUAGGACCGGUGCCAUACUUAUCUAUAGAAUCUUUUCAACAUUAACACUUUCCUUUCUCACCUAUCGCUAGCUAACAUCAUGCACUCCCUGGGUACUAGAGAUGUCUAUUAUAAAGUAUUGUUUAAUUCAUCCAUGUAUUACGAAAGUAUU
This 2618-nucleotide ribosomal RNA is filed under the name Triticum aestivum (bread wheat). RNAcentral's name for it is "partial small subunit ribosomal RNA". The record is from RNAcentral. Lineage: Eukaryota; Viridiplantae; Streptophyta; Magnoliopsida; Poales; Poaceae.